CGUGACAGUGUUGUCAACCUUUGCAUGGCAUGGGACCUUUCGCUUCCAAAUCUAAACAACAUGAAGUGGCUCCAUGACAAGCUACUCAUACAUGCAGUUCUGGAUCGAUCAGCAAAACAAGUGAAGCAGUUAUGGAAGGGACUGAAGGAGACUGGCAUUUGGCCUCUUCUCUGCUAUAGAGCAAAUGUAGUGAAACUGCUUUUCCCUUGUGAGAAAGAUGCAGAGAUCACACCCCAGAUGAUUCUUGCACACAUCAUAUGGCCCAAGCUGAAAUCAGAUUUUGACUGUGAUGAUGAAGAUGAUGCCUCUGUAGAG
Thalassophryne amazonica is the source of this 315-nucleotide long non-coding RNA. RefSeq lists it as uncharacterized. The transcript is spliced from 3 exons. NCBI's taxonomy places the organism in Eukaryota, Metazoa, Chordata, Actinopteri, Batrachoidiformes, Batrachoididae. The record is from RefSeq and is a predicted model, not a curated record.